GCCGAGGUAGUAUAAUGAGUGCGUUCGUUUUUCGUGCGAUUAGUGGUUUUAGUUAACCUCUCGGUU
RNAcentral lists this transfer RNA (66 nucleotides) under Amusium pleuronectes. RNAcentral describes it as "tRNA-Glu". The record is from RNAcentral. Lineage: Eukaryota; Metazoa; Mollusca; Bivalvia; Pectinida; Pectinidae.